Molecule: ribosomal RNA, 857 nt
Filed under: uncultured Clostridia bacterium
Lineage: Bacteria; Bacillati; Bacillota; Clostridia
Description: bacterial SSU rRNA
Rfam family: Bacterial small subunit ribosomal RNA
Source: RNAcentral
AGUCGAGCGGAGCUAUUGAUGAAGCUUGCGAUUCAAUAGUCGAGCGGCGGACAGGUGAGUAACGCGUGGGCAAUCUGCCCUCUAGCCUGGGAUAACAGUUCGAAAGGACUGCUAACACCGGAUAUGCUCACGGCCUGGCAUCAGGCAGUGAGGAAAGUUUACACUAGAGGAUGAGCCCGCGUCCCAUUAGCUAGUUGGUGAGGUAACGGCCCACCAAGGCGGCGAUGGGUAGCCGACCUGAGAGGGUGAACGGCCACACUGGGACUGAGACACGGCCCAGACUCCUACGGGAGGCAGCAGUAGGGAAUUUUCCGCAAUGGACGAAAGUCUGACGGAGCAACGCCGCGUGAGGGAUGAAGGUUUUCGGAUCGUAAACCUCUGUCUUCGGGGACGAUAAUGACGGUACCCGAGGAGGAAGCCACGGCUAACUACGUGCCAGCAGCCGCGGUAAUACGUAGGUGGCAAGCGUUGUCCGGAAUUACUGGGCGUAAAGGGCGUGUAGGCGGCCUUUUAAGUCAGACGUGAAAUCUCCAGGCUUAACCUGGAAACUGCGUUUGAAACUGGAGGGCUUGAGGACCGGAGAGGGUAGUGGAAUUCCCAGUGUAGCGGUGAAAUGCGUAGAUAUUGGGAGGAACACCAGUGGCGAAGGCGACUGCCUGGACGGCACCUGACGCUGAGGCGCGAAAGCUAGGGGAGCAAACGGGAUUAGAUACCCCGGUAGUCCUAGCCGUAAACGAUGGGUACUAGGUGUGGGAGGUAUCGACCCCUUCCGUGCCGCAGUUAACACAAUAAGUACCCCGCCUGGGGAGUACGGCCGCAAGGUUGAAACUCAAAGGAAUUGACGGGGGNNNGCACAA